AGCAGCCGCGGUAAUUCCAGCUCCAAUAGCGUAUAUUAAAGUUGUUGCAGUUAAAAAGCUCGUAGUUGAAUUUCGGGGUCAGUAGGUUGGUCGUGCCACUGGUAUGUACUGGCUUCACUGAUUCCUCCCUCUUGUAGAACCGUAAUGCCAUUAAGUUGGUGUUGCGGGGAAACAGGACUGUUACUUUGAAAAAAUUAGAGUGUUUAAAGCAGGCUAACGCUUGAAUACAUUAGCAUGGAAUAAUGAAAUAGGACGUUUGAUCCUAUUUUGUUGGUUUCUAGGAUUGACGUAAUGAUUAAUAGGGAUAGUUGGGGGCAUUAGUAUUCAAUUGUCAGAGGUGAAAUUCUUGGAUUUAUUGAAGACUAACUACUGCGAAAGCAUUUGCCAAGGAUGUUUUCAUUAAUCAAGAACGAAAGUUAGGGGAUCGAAGACGAUCAGAUACCGUCGUAGUCUUAACCAUAAACUAUGCCGACUAGGGAUCGGAUGAUGUUAAUUUUUUGAUGAUCAUUCGGCGCCUUAC
Molecule: ribosomal RNA, 520 nt
Filed under: uncultured Glomeromycotina
Lineage: Eukaryota; Fungi; Glomeromycota
Description: SSU rRNA
Rfam family: Eukaryotic small subunit ribosomal RNA
Source: RNAcentral